This 253-nucleotide ribosomal RNA is filed under the name uncultured bacterium. RNAcentral's name for it is "partial 16S ribosomal RNA". It matches the Rfam family "Bacterial small subunit ribosomal RNA", at positions 524 to 776 of the family's 1533-position model. The record is from RNAcentral.
UACGUAGGGUCCGAGCGUUGUCCGGAAUUAUUGGGCGUAAAGGGCUCGUAGGCGGUCCGUCACGUCGGGAGUGAAAACUCAGGGCUCAACCCUGAGCGUGCUUCCGAUACGGGCGGACUAGAGGUAUGCAGGGGAGAACGGAAUUCCUGGUGUAGCGGUGGAAUGCGCAGAUAUCAGGAGGAACACCGGUGGCGAAGGCGGGUCUCUGGGCAACUACUGACGCUGAGGAGCGAAAGCGUGGGGAGCGAACAGG